This 205-nucleotide long non-coding RNA is filed under the name Nicotiana benthamiana. RNAcentral describes it as "long non-coding RNA (NBEN_LNC004036)". Lineage: Eukaryota; Viridiplantae; Streptophyta; Magnoliopsida; Solanales; Solanaceae. The record is from RNAcentral.
GUCUACCUUUUUCUUUUGCUUCUUCCUCUUAUCUUGUUACGUAUAUUCAAAGGAUAUACAACCCUAUGUUUAAAGGUAUCCCUAGAAGUACCUGUAGAGUGCAUUUAGCCAAGCAAGACAACAACUUGCAUCCGAGACUCCCAAGCAAGACAACAACUUGGAGACACGCGGCACUCAUUGGGAAGCAAUGCUUUGGAAGUCUUNN